This 90-nucleotide ribosomal RNA is filed under the name Hypnum saitoi. Its description in RNAcentral is "partial 5.8S ribosomal RNA". It matches the Rfam family "5.8S ribosomal RNA", at positions 1 to 86 of the family's 154-position model. From Rfam's summary of the family: 5.8S ribosomal RNA (5.8S rRNA) is a component of the large subunit of the eukaryotic ribosome. Lineage: Eukaryota; Viridiplantae; Streptophyta; Bryopsida; Hypnales; Hypnaceae. The record is from RNAcentral.
AAACAACUCUCAGCAACGGAUAUCUUGGCUCUUGCAACGAUGAAGAACGCAGCGAAAUGCGAUACGUAGUGUGAAUUGCAGAAUUCCGCG